GCAGCUUGGAACUGGGGAAAGCAGGGUAGCGACAGUCAGGGAGGAGUGGUGCGGAGCUGUGGGAAAGAGCUGUGGUAGAGGGAGGAGCCCAGUCGACCCAGGGAAACGCAGUGUGGCUGAUUUCUGUUGACUGAUCUUCAAACUCACUGAUUCUUUCCUUGGCUGUGUUGAAAGUGCUCAUGAGCCCAUGGAAGAAAUUGCUGAAGGGAGACAUUUUAGGAGAUUCCUUUUCAAAUAAAUCCGUCACUACUCUUCAAGGAGAAAAGCUCUCAAGGACAAGCAAAGAUGGCUGCGACUGAGGGAGACUGUUAUAGGACCUGUCACAUAACUGUUCCCUGACCUCUGUUUUAGGGUGGAAAAGAAACAUCUCAACAGAGAACCCUGUGAAAAGUGAGAAAAAUCUCAAAGUCCUGAACUCCCAUCCCUACUUCAGAAAGAACUCCUGUUCACAGCAGCUAAAGCCAGCCCAAAGUCCAGCUCCUUCCCAAGAACAAUUCUGUUGGGAUGUUGGAUCCACACCUGGCCAAGCCUUGUGGUCUCCAAAUGUACUUGUUCAGAGUGGGAUUCUCAAGCUGUGUAUAGUACUCUCGACAUGAAAUCUAUGUGGUUCCCUGAAGCUCCAAGUCGAGAUGGACCGUCUCCAGUUUAUUGUGUUGAAAGAAAGGACAGCACUUCACACAGAUCAAGUGUGAGCACUGGAAAAUAAACCUGAAAAUCUGGACAGGGAAAGGCCCAACCAAUAGCAGUUGUCCUGGAAUUGUGGAGCUCUCAAUAAUAAAUGUCUCGGUGGUGUGUUUAUUGCAGUUCCAAUCCAAUUCAGUUCAACAAAUUUUUGUUGAAUGCCUGCUGUGAACAAGAUAAAGAAUGAAUAAGACAUGGCUCUCACCCUCCAGGACUUCACAGUCUAACAGGGGAAUCAACAUGUACACUGUUAAUUCUCAACAAGGAAGACAAUAAUAAAGACUGACACUGAGGGCCAUGCAGCAACUGAGCAACAAGAGAAUACCCCAUCUGCAACCCGGGCUGGGAUAAUACUUACGGUGAGAGAACAUGCGUAAAUGAUCUACCAACUUGACAGGAACGGAUUCCAAAUCUGGUACUCUGUGGCCUCAUUCCUUGCCAGUGUGCCCCUGGAAGGGUAAGCCCAUGGUGAGCGCCUUAGUUUGUUAGUGGAAAGGAAGCCUUGGUUUGGGGAGAAAGUAUUUGGAUGGCCUAUUAAGAAGUCUUUCCAUUUUCAAUAGAGUAGGACAGUCUGCCUCAGAGCCUGUGGUAUGGUCUUUUCUCUGGAUGAGCACAAUGACUCCCUCUCACACAUUUUUCUGGUAUUUAUGCUGCAUGAGCCCCUGCCACUCUCCUGAAUAAACUUCCAGGUACUACCUGCAUGCUGUGUUCCUGUGGAGGAAUGGCAGUAAUCUCUGCAAAGGUAAACAAACUGGAGCUUCUGUGGAUAAAGCGUAAAUGCAGUGAAGUGUGUGUGACUGUAAGAUUUAAUGCCUCCACAGGUGAUUUUUUUGGAGGGGGGAUCUGGUAUUUAAUCAAGUCUAGAGUCAUUAUGUAAAUUGAAUCACCUUGCAACACACUAGUAAUUUUUUUAUCGCAUCGCCUUUUCAUUUGACACUGCCUAGAUACAAGUUGAGCUUGGAAUUUCAGAGGUAGAGCGCUGCUGAUUGGAGACAUAUUAAGGAAAAUGUACUAUGGA
This is a long non-coding RNA of Manis javanica (Malayan pangolin), 1699 nucleotides long. RefSeq lists it as uncharacterized. NCBI's taxonomy places the organism in Eukaryota, Metazoa, Chordata, Mammalia, Pholidota, Manidae. The record is from RefSeq and is a predicted model, not a curated record.